Molecule: long non-coding RNA, 2291 nt
Filed under: Homo sapiens (human)
Lineage: Eukaryota; Metazoa; Chordata; Mammalia; Primates; Hominidae
Description: HSALNT0280137
Source: RNAcentral
AAUCACGGAGAGCGGGUUCCGUCCCCUCCUCGCCCCGGCCUGUAACUGCUGCGGGGGCCGCUUUCUGGGCCCGCCCCUCCAGGCCAGGAGCCUUUUUCAAAAUGUGGCGGUGGCAGGGAAGGUUGUCUGCUCCAGAGGCUUCCCUAGAGUGAAGAGCUCUACUAUGUAUGCUUUAUGCGGCAGAAGGAGUGCUUUGGAGGAGUUUUUAAAUUUGUUUUUUUUUUAAAUCUUAUCGGUUUUAAUUGUAGCAAUGAUUCAAGAAACGUUAGUAGGUGCCCAUAACUUCGGUGGUGGAGAUCCAAAAGUGAACAAGACAGUGUUCUGGCUGCUAAAUUCUUCUUAACUGGUUAUGCCUGGAGACCUUCACUUGGUUCUGUGCCAGCACUGCCCAUGAACUUCAUAGACUGUGAUCUUUGCUAAGGCCUAAAUGAAUGAAGGUGCAGGACCGGAAGCAGAAGACAGAAAGUGGAGACCAGAUGUUUGAAGCUGGGUAAAGGCAGGGAUGGAGCAGGAACCGAGGAACAAACCUUGGAACUAGGUAAGUUUCCUGAGGCCUUCCCAGAAGUAGAAGCCUGCACAGUCCACAGAACUAGUCUGAUGCUUGGCUGUCUGAAACCUAUUCCUGAAAUGAAAACUGUGAGAUCACAUAUCCAGCAUUGUUUCUCAAAUAGAACUAGAAAUAAUAGCCUAAGAAAUGUACCAUCAGCUGGAACUGGAAAGAAUUGUGAUACUUGAAGAGACUUAGCACUUGGUGGACUAUGAUUUUCUAUCAAUCAAGUCAAGCACUGCUACCCAGUCUUCACUACAGAGUGCACCGGAAAGAAUGAUCCAGCAGUAAAAUGCUUUAUGAACUAUCCAUAUGGAAACCAUUGGCAAUAACACAUCCUGGCAUAUGGCUCUGAGAUGUAUAAAGGCACAGUGAAUUCCUGAAUCAUCCUUUGAUCUUCCACAAGACUCAGUAUCACUGAUUAACUACAAUUUGAAUAUAGUUCAUCACUGAAGGAAUGAGUGAGUGAAUGAGAAAGUGAGCAAAUGAGGCCGUGGAGGUCACUUAAACCAGGGAUCAGGUUCAUAGAGGUCACCCAACACAAGAUGGAAUAGUCAAGUAAACCAAGUUUACGGAGUUAGACAAAACUCCAUAAGGCAAGGUCAACAAAGGCAGCUCUGACGGACUGUUCAAUCCUGACUUUAGGCUGAUGCUGGUCUCUACUCUGUCUUCCUCCUGAGAGUAGGGGGCCUGGGGGCCCUUAAAUAAUUGCUGGUGUUAAAAGGGAGUUCAAUAUUUUCAAGCAUACCUAGCUUCUGUUUGAAGAGAGACAGGGUAGAAGAAUUACCUGGAAGGGAUAGGGUACACACUGCCACCUCCAUUGCUAUAACGUUUUACUCUUGUCAACAGACUUUCACAUAUAUGCUCUUGAGUCAAGCACAGGAAGAAAUAAAUUUUGCUGCUGAAUUUGAAGCAAUUGGCCAUGGAAGCCAGUCUUCAGGGGCAUUAAAACAAAUGCCUAACAAAAGUUUAUUAUAAGGCACUUGCUCCACCUGAACUCAUUUCAUCGUUAGAAAAAAAUCUAAGAAGUAAAAAUUAAUAUCCUUCCCUUUUCACAAGAUGAUGGAAUCAAGAGCCUUAACAAGUUUUAAUGGCCUGCCAAGGGUCAUUUGUCAACUUCUGAGUCUAAUGUCUAUGUUCUACUCAUGACAUGGCAGUUGUGGUAUAGAGGGAUCUGAUACAUCAUGAAAAUAUAAACCCACAGAUUUUGAUUCUAAGAAAGUGACCCAAGUUGUGCUCAUUAUGGUUUUGCUUAAAAUUAAAGUUUAGAUUGAAAUGAUACCAGUUACGUGUUCUUAAAAACCUGCCAUGAUUUACUUUAGAUGAUGAUUGAGGACCUACUGUGUGCAAGCCACUGGGAUGAACAUCUUAUAUAUAGUUUUUUAUUUCAUCCCCAUAGUUAUCCUAGAGACAGGCAUGAUUCCCUUCUUCUUACAAGUGAAGAAACUAAGGCUCAGAAGCAUUGAGUGACUUGCUCCAAAUCAUAAAAUUAGUGGUGGAGAGAAAAUUUAAAGACAGGUUAUCUGGUUCUGGAAUCUACACUUUUACUAACUGCUCUCAAUGGCCUCUCCUUAGUAUUUGUGCCUUCAUUAAACAAAAUGUUUUGAAAACUUCCAGUGUGCCAAGUACUCUUUUGGGUGCUGAGGAUAUAACUAUACAAAUGUGAGUCAUCUUUUGAAUAUGCUAUUCUUCAACAUUUUUGGACUUAGCUAUUUUAAUAAGUUCUAUACUUGUAGGAAGUUUA